UCAGAUGUCGUGACAUAUUACUUAAAUUUAAUAUUCAUCGUUUGUAAGUCUUCCUUUGUAAUAAUAAAUUUAAAAGCGAAACAUCAUUAGAGAGUAUACGAGUAGCACCUAACCAUGACUGUCUAACAAUGUAAAUCGAUAUGUUAUUUUUAUAUAACAAGAUAUAAUUAGACGUGUAUUUAAAUAAUAUAACUUGUGUAAAUUUUGUACAAUUAUCGUAUAGGCUAGGUCUAGUCAUGUUUGGUUAGUCGCCUAGAGUCAACGUAUUUGGUUAGCUUAGGCGUAGAUGAUGUGAUUAGCGUUUGUAUUUAUUAUUAUCAUUAUUAUUAUUACCAUUUUUUCUGUUAGUUCGAAAAAGUUACUUCAAAAUACAUUUUUUACCCCAUAAAAAAAUAUAUAUUAACCAACCGUGUUUUUUUUUACAAUGUGUAUGUAAUACCUUUUAUUUAAAACAUUAAUCUAACAUUAUAACACUAAUACUUCGGACGAAAAACCUUUUAACAAAACUUUUGUGUUCUAAUCAUUUUUUUUCAGUUCUAAUACGAAUACAUGGUAAGUUCGUGAAAGUGCUCACACCAAAUUUGCAUCUUGCAAUUAUUAAUAAUAUUUAGAUACCAGAUACUCCGAAAUGGAGUAAUUGUGUGACAAAGUUCAUUUUAAUCAACUAAUUUAAUAAGAUUUCAAAACGAUUUUUACUUUGUUGUACUUAGAAUGGCAUAUAUUGAGAAGAACACGGUUCAGUUGACGAGGGGCUAGGUGAACUCGAGAAAAUUAAGAAAAUCGAAGUCAUUUCAACGUAUAUAUUUCCACUAUUUUUACUCCGAUGGUAUGUGCGUGUGUUACAUAAUUUUUGAAAUAAAUCGAUAAUUUUUAACUUAAA
Long non-coding RNA from Sipha flava (yellow sugarcane aphid), 880 nucleotides. RefSeq lists it as uncharacterized. The record is from RefSeq and is a predicted model, not a curated record. NCBI's taxonomy places the organism in Eukaryota, Metazoa, Arthropoda, Insecta, Hemiptera, Aphididae. The transcript has 2 exons.